UACGUAGGUGGCGAGCGUUAUCCGGAAUGAUUGGGCGUAAAGGGUGCGUAGGUGGCAGAUCAAGUCUGGAGUAAAAGGUAUGGGCUCAACCCGUACUGGCUCUGGAAACUGAUCAGCUAGAGAACAGAAGAGGACGGCGGAACUCCAUGUGUAGCGGUAAAAUGCGUAGAUAUAUGGAAGAACACCGGUGGCGAAGGCGGCCGUCUGGUCUGAAUUCUGACACUGAAGCACGAAAGCGUGGGGAGCAAAUAGG
RNAcentral lists this ribosomal RNA (253 nucleotides) under Holdemanella biformis DSM 3989. Its description in RNAcentral is "partial 16S ribosomal RNA". It matches the Rfam family "Bacterial small subunit ribosomal RNA", at positions 524 to 776 of the family's 1533-position model. The record is from RNAcentral. Lineage: Bacteria; Bacillati; Bacillota; Erysipelotrichia; Erysipelotrichales; Erysipelotrichaceae.